This 377-nucleotide unclassified non-coding RNA is filed under the name uncultured Sphingomonadaceae bacterium. RNAcentral's name for it is "contains 16S-23S intergenic spacer region". Lineage: Bacteria; Pseudomonadati; Pseudomonadota; Alphaproteobacteria; Sphingomonadales; Sphingomonadaceae. The record is from RNAcentral.
UCCGGCUUAUCACCGGCGGUUUCUUUAGAGUGCCCAACUAAAUGAUGGCAACUAAAGACGAGGGUUGCGCUCGUUGCGGGACUUAACCCAACAUCUCACGACACGAGCUGACGACAGCCAUGCAGCACCUGUCGAGCGGUCCCGAAGGACACCCCUCGUUUCUGAGGAGCUUCCGCUCGAUGUCAAGCCCAGGUAAGGUUCUUCGCGUCGCGUCGAAUUAAACCACAUGCUCCGCUGCUUGUGCGGGCCCCCGUCAAUUUCUUUGAGUUUUAACCUUGCGGCCGUACUCCCCAGGCGGAUGACUUAACGCGUUAGCUGCGCCACCGAAACCCUAAGGGCCCCGACAGCUAGUCAUCAUCGUUUACGGCGUGGACUAC